Non-coding RNA from Phthorimaea operculella (potato tuberworm), 75 nucleotides. NCBI's taxonomy places the organism in Eukaryota, Metazoa, Arthropoda, Insecta, Lepidoptera, Gelechiidae. The record is from the annotation of a GenBank genome assembly.
GCAUCGAUAGCUCAGUGGCAGAGCGGUGGGGCGUUUACCCAUGCUGCGGCCCGGGUUUGAUUCCCGGUCGAUGUA